GCCGGGAUGGCAGAGUGGAUAAUGCGCAGGCCUUGAGAGCCUGUGAACCCUCGUGGUUCGCAUGGGUUCGAAUCCCAUUCCCGGCG
This 86-nucleotide transfer RNA is filed under the name Candidatus Bathyarchaeota archaeon. Its description in RNAcentral is "tRNA-Ser". It matches the Rfam family "tRNA". From Rfam's summary of the family: Transfer RNA (tRNA) molecules are approximately 80 nucleotides in length. Their secondary structure includes four short double-helical elements and three loops (D, anti-codon, and T loops). Lineage: Archaea; Thermoproteati; Candidatus Bathyarchaeota. RNAcentral also lists the same sequence under 2 other names. The record is from RNAcentral.